RNAcentral lists this ribosomal RNA (253 nucleotides) under uncultured bacterium. Its description in RNAcentral is "partial 16S ribosomal RNA". It matches the Rfam family "Bacterial small subunit ribosomal RNA", at positions 524 to 776 of the family's 1533-position model. The record is from RNAcentral.
UACGGAGGGUGCAAGCGUUAUCCGGAUUCACUGGGUUUAAAGGGUGCGUAGGUGGGUCUGUAAGUCAGUGGUGAAAUCUCCGUGCUUAACAUGGAAACUGCCAUUGAUACUAUAGGUCUUGAAUUUUCUGGAGGUAAGCGGAAUAUGUCAUGUAGCGGUGAAAUGCUUAGAUAUGACAUAGAACACCAAUUGCGAAGGCAGCUUGCUACAGGGAUAUUGACACUGAGGCACGAAAGCGUGGGGAUCAGACAGG